RNAcentral lists this ribosomal RNA (466 nucleotides) under uncultured bacterium. RNAcentral describes it as "bacterial SSU rRNA". It matches the Rfam family "Bacterial small subunit ribosomal RNA", at positions 28 to 526 of the family's 1533-position model. The record is from RNAcentral.
GAUGAACGCUAGCGGUGCGCUUAACACAUGCAAGUCGAACGGAGUCAGAGGGCUUGCUCUCUGACUUAGUGGCGAACGGGCGAGUAUAAAGUUUGUACCUGCCCUGAAGUCGGGGAUAACGCGCCGAAAGGCGUGCUAAUACCGGAUGGUCCCGAGAGGGUAAAGCCGCAAGGCGCUUCAGGAGGGGCAUGCUCCCUAUCAGCUAGUUGGCGGGGUAAAGGCCCACCAAGGCUAUGACGGGUAGUUGGUCUGAGAGGACGGCCAGCCGCAAUGGGACUGAGACACGGCCCAUACUCCUACGGGAGGCAGCAGUGAGGAAUCUUCCGCAAUGGGCGAAAGCCUGACGGAGCGACACCGCGUGGAGGAUGACGCGUUUAUUCGUGUAAACUCCUUUUCUAUGGGAAGAUGAUGACGGUACCAUAGGAAUAAGGGACGGCUAACUACGUGCCAGCCGCCGCCGUAACAC